This 488-nucleotide long non-coding RNA is filed under the name Fukomys damarensis (Damara mole-rat). Its description in RNAcentral is "lncRNA (ENSFDAG00000024872.1)". The record is from RNAcentral. Lineage: Eukaryota; Metazoa; Chordata; Mammalia; Rodentia; Bathyergidae.
GGUUAAUAAUGUUUUGUCAGUCCAUCCAUGGCUAGAGGAAAAUUCCUUCUUUAUGUAUUUUGUCCAUAACCCUGAUAAACCAACAGGGGCUUUCACACAGCACCUUAAAAGCCUGUCUUAUCCUUGGGGUUUCUGCAGCCAAUGAAAGUUUGUCAUGAUGAUGUAAUGCUCCUGAGUUGUGUUUCAGCACCGAGUGUGUGGUCACCGGGUAUCAUGCCUGAGAGCUAGGACUUCCUGGGUCCCAGAGAGUUCAAUAGCAAAGUCUUCAGCCCUUCAUGUAAGACCAUGUUCUUCACCAUACUUGGAAACUGUCUUAUGGAGGGGAAGAUCUAAGGAAUCCAAAGAAAAGUGUGGUGGUUAACAGUAUGACAAGCCUCACAGAUCUGUAAAGGUAAUGUAUGCUUUAUUUUCAUUUUCAUUUGGUGAUGCUCAUGAUUUGUUAAUGUGUUUGUAAAGUGUGUAUUAGGAGCAGUAUCUUGAGGGCCGGG